RNAcentral lists this ribosomal RNA (465 nucleotides) under uncultured bacterium. RNAcentral's name for it is "bacterial SSU rRNA". It matches the Rfam family "Bacterial small subunit ribosomal RNA", at positions 338 to 795 of the family's 1533-position model. The record is from RNAcentral.
CCUACGGGUGGCAGCAGUGGGGAAUAUUGCACAAUGGGGGAAACCCUGAUGCAGCCAUGCCGCGUGUGUGAAGAAGGCCUUCGGGUUGUAAAGCACUUUCAGCGAGGAGGAAAGGUCAGUAGCUAAUAUCUGCUGGCUGUGACGUUACUCGCAGAAGAAGCACCGGCUAACUCCGUGCCAGCAGCCGCGGUAAUACGGAGGGUGCAAGCGUUAAUCGGAAUUACUGGGCGUAAAGCGCACGCAGGCGGUUGGAUAAGUUAGAUGUGAAAGCCCCGGGCUCAACCUGGGAAUUGCAUUUAAAACUGUCCAGCUAGAGUCUUGUAGAGGGGGGUAGAAUUCCAGGUGUAGCGGUGAAAUGCGUAGAGAUCUGGAGGAAUACCGGUGGCGAAGGCGGCCCCCUGGACAAAGACUGACGCUCAGGUGCGAAAGCGUGGGGAGCAAACAGGAUUAGAUACCCCUGUAGUC